This 900-nucleotide ribosomal RNA is filed under the name Echiniscus manuelae. RNAcentral describes it as "SSU rRNA". It matches the Rfam family "Eukaryotic small subunit ribosomal RNA", at positions 140 to 949 of the family's 1831-position model. The record is from RNAcentral. Lineage: Eukaryota; Metazoa; Tardigrada; Heterotardigrada; Echiniscoidea; Echiniscidae.
UGGAUAACUGUGGUAAUUCUAGAGCUAAUACAUGCAGUAAGCCUUGACCUUUACCGGCAAGGCGCAGUUAUUAGAUCAAAAACCAAUCGGUUGUGUCUUCGGAUGCAGCCGUUAGCUUGGUGACUCUGAGUAACCACAGCGAACCGUAUGGCCUCGUGCUCGACGGUCUGUCAGUCAAGCAACUGCCUUAUCAGCUUGUUGUUAGGUUAUAUGCCUAACAAGGCUUCAACGGGUAACGAACGAUCGGGGUCGGAUAUCGGAGAGGGAGCUUGAGAAACGGCUACCACUUCCAAGGAAGGCAGCAGGCGCGCAAAUUACCCACUCUCGGCAUGAGGAGGUAGCGAUAAAAUGUAUCGAUGCGGGGCCAUUAGUGCCUUCGUAAUCGGAAUGAGUACACUUUAAAUCCUAUAACAAGGACCUAUUGGAGGGCAAGUCUGGUGCCAGCAGCCGCGGUAAUUCCAGCUCCAAUAGCGUAUAUUAAUGCUGCUGCGGUUAAAAAGCUCGUAGUCGGAUCUGGGUUACCGGCGGGUACCGCAUGUUGCUUCACGCAGCAUGUUGUGUACUAUACGUGUCGCUUCGGCGGCACUGCCAGUGUAAUAGUGCCUCACGUAGGUACGUUACGCUGGUCGCCGGAACCACGAGCCGGGUUGAGCAGCAUGCUCUUAAUUGAGUGUGCUGUUUACUCGGUGCGUUUACUUUGAAAAAAUUGGAGUGCUCAAAGCAAGCGUACAGUCGCUAUGCGGCUUGAACAGUGGUGCAUGGAAUAAUGGAAUAGGGCCUCGGUUCUAUUUUGUUGGUUUUAAGAUAUCGAGGUAAUGAUUAAGAGGGACAGACGGGGACGUUUGUAUUGCGACGUUAGAGGUGAAAUUCUUGGAUCGUCGCAAGACACACUAAUGCGAA